Long non-coding RNA from Stegodyphus dumicola, 952 nucleotides. RefSeq lists it as uncharacterized. NCBI's taxonomy places the organism in Eukaryota, Metazoa, Arthropoda, Arachnida, Araneae, Eresidae. The record is from RefSeq and is a predicted model, not a curated record.
UCGAUUAAAACCCAGUCUGAGGUCUAAAUACAGAGUCCUUUGAGGGGCUCUGAACCUUACUUUCCUGGCGUAAACAAAUACUAGGAUUAUCAGGAAGUAUAGAAGAUUUCAGGGUCUCAUAAGCCUAGCCUUGAAGGCCUAAGCGGAAAUUGAAUUCUAAUAAACACCUGUCACUUAACGACAAGUUUCCAUGCCUGUUGACGGAUGCUGCCAAAUAUAAAUGAAGUAAAUUCUCACCUCCACCGUUGACCAGAGACUGGAUGGCCGCUAUGGAAGCCGCUUGUACGAUGACACUGUUCCCGAGAGAGUGACCAGUGACCACUGCGGGUCCAGAGGGCCCAACCAGCACUCCUGGUGUAGCGAGUUGCUGCUGUUCUUGUUGGUUCAUGCCGGAUGCAGCUGAAACUCACGCUCAUCAAUCAGCUGGGAAUAGCGGAAAAAGAGAAACAAACCUACGAACAAUGUUCUUUGGGUUCAAAUUUCACGACGAGGUUGAAAGUUCGAAUCGAGAAGGAGGUUGAUAUUCUUCCAGUCAGCGUAGACAGCAGUUCCACAGAUGAGUAUCGUCAAUGCGGAGUGGGUUGCCCGGCGAUAUCGUUCCCAGAGUAAAGGAGGCGCCACCGGUUGGAUUGUUUAACUACCGCUUAAAUGACGCGAAGAGAUUAGAUUGGAAGAAGGUUCCAAAAUUUCUGUGCUGUGAUUUCCUUGUGGUCUAGUGUAAUGUGGUACAAAGUUAUAAUUUCUAUAGAUCUUUUUUAAUAUCUCAAUUUCUUAACUUACCAUUGCUUUCAUCAUGCUAAACAAAGCAACAAACUAGAGCUUCAAUAUUUUUCCUAAAUCAAAUCACAUUUAUAGUUAGUUAAUCACUAAUGGAAUAAUUAUAAGUUUUUCAGAAAAUUACCCCGGUCAGUAAUAAACAAAUAAAACAGAAAUAUAUGAUUGCAGCUAGAAA